This is a non-coding RNA of Nicotiana tabacum (common tobacco), 978 nucleotides long. The record is from RefSeq and is a predicted model, not a curated record. NCBI's taxonomy places the organism in Eukaryota, Viridiplantae, Streptophyta, Magnoliopsida, Solanales, Solanaceae.
CUAAUACAUAAAACCUAGACACCCUUCUUAAAAAAAAUCGAGAGACCUAAACCAAGAAAACCCUAGAGAACACCCUAAUAGCACAGCCGCCAGUCCACCUCUCUCCACCGGCUGCUCACGCCGGACAGCCGCAUCACCCCCUCUUCACCACCGACCGUCAUCACCUCCAUCGCCUCUCUCAACUUGGGGUGCGAAAUCCGCCGCCGCUGCCAUCUCCGGCCAAUUAUCGCUGUCGUGGUAUUCCUUCCAUCAACUACAAAUAUUGUUCCUAGGAAAAUAUUCCAUUUAUAUGGAAGAUAAUAGUCUUUAAUCUGUUCAAAACGCCUUGGUGUCAUUUCCUCGACAGCUUUCAUCUCAGGCCAAAUACUAGCCAAAUAUAGCCCUUCCAGCACAUUUCUUCCUCUGUUUUCUAAUAACUAACUAUGAAUGAAUUCUUGAACCACGGGCUUUGCAUAAGAUAUUAAUAGGUUUGUCUGAGAUUGCAUUCUGAAGAAGCUUUUCAAGAUUGGAAAUGUUUCUUUAGUCAUCUCUGUGAUUGAUGAUCUAUUUGCAUGAACGAGUACACAACAUUCGUCGAGGUUAUUAGGUUCGUUUGGGGUUCCGUCGCCGAUUCGAGGUUUGGUCAAUAGAUCAUUUUUUUGGUUUGCUGCUUUGGAAAUUUUCAGUCAUUGUACAUGGCGAAAAAUACGUAGCGAUAAAGGUGUGGAUCCAUGUACCAGGACUCGAGCAUGAUAGAUACCCCAGGACCACUGCAUUCGGGAGCUACUUGAGGAGACUUUUCUAUAUUUUUGAGUUUGUUUUCAUGUUUUCUUUUACUUUGUAGUCAUGUCCAGUAGUACUGCAUCUUUUAGGUGAUGUCAGAGACUAUCAUAGUCUAGUUGAGUUUGUCGAGUCUUUCAUUAUAUCGUACUUCCUGUUUUGUAUUUGAAAAACUAAAAAAAUUAUAAAUGAAAAAUCCAAAAAGAUUUUUGUUUCUUA